UACAGCCACAUCAUGUUGGAACAUCAGUUCUCAUACAAUCUGCAAAGUUAAGCAACAUUGAGCUUGGUCAGUACCUAGAAGGGUGACAGCCUGGGAAUAUCAGCAGCUGUAUG
Non-coding RNA from Acanthosepion pharaonis, 113 nucleotides. NCBI's taxonomy places the organism in Eukaryota, Metazoa, Mollusca, Cephalopoda, Sepiida, Sepiidae. The record is from the annotation of a GenBank genome assembly.